UGGCUAAUAUCUCGCAAAACAUAUCGCUGUAAGGCGGUGUUAUCUGGAUGCUUCAGAUAUUUCUGACCAAUUUUUUUUACAGCACCUGUCAACAUGAACCGAGUCUUGGGAAUGGACCUUCUUGCAACAGUUGCGGUGGCCAUAGCUGUGAUCAUCAUGGCACCCAACGAAGCUGCUGCUCUUGGAGGCAUGGUCGGAGGAAAUGGUGGAAUCGGUCUGAAAAAGAAGUGAACCAGCAGUCACUGUGGAUGAUAUCAGGAUUCUAGUAUUUCGAUGACAUAGCUCACUUGUUGUGCAAAACAC
RNAcentral lists this long non-coding RNA (303 nucleotides) under Dermacentor andersoni. RNAcentral describes it as "uncharacterized LOC126531402". The record is from RNAcentral. Lineage: Eukaryota; Metazoa; Arthropoda; Arachnida; Ixodida; Ixodidae.